Molecule: ribosomal RNA, 253 nt
Filed under: uncultured bacterium
Lineage: Bacteria
Description: partial 16S ribosomal RNA
Rfam family: Bacterial small subunit ribosomal RNA
Source: RNAcentral
UACGGAGGGUGCAAGCGUUAUCCGGAUUCACUGGGUUUAAAGGGUGUGUAGGCGGGCAGUUAAGUCAGUGGUGAAAUCUCCGGGCUCAACCCGGAAACUGCCAUUGAUACUAUCUGUCUUGAAUAUCGUUGAGGUAGGCGGAAUAUAUCAUGUAGCGGUGAAAUGCAUAGAUAUGAUAUAGAACACCGAUUGCGAAGGCAGCUUGCUAAACGAUGAUUGACGCUGAGGCACGAAAGCGUGGGGAUCAAACAGG